CCUACGGGGGGCAGCAGUGAGGAAUAUUGGUCAAUGGACGAGAGUCUGAACCAGCCAAGUAGCGUGAAGGAUGACUGCCCUAUGGGUUGUAAACUUCUUUUAUAUGGGAAUAAAACGUUCCACGUGUGGGAUUUUGUAUGUACCAUAUGAAUAAGGAUCGGCUAACUCCGUGCCAGCAGCCGCGGUAAUACGGAGGAUCCGAGCGUUAUACGGAUUUAUUGGGUUUAAAGGGAGCGUAGGUGGAUUGUUAAGUCAGUUGUGAAAGUUUGCGGCUCAACCGUAAAAUUGCAGUUGAAACUGGCAGUCUGGAGUACAGUAGAGGUGGGCGGAAUUCGUGGUGUAGCGGUGAAAUGCUUAGAUAUCACGAAGAACUCCGAUUGCGAAGGCAGCUCACUGGACUGCAACUGACACUGAGGCUCGAAAGUGUGGGUAUCAAACAGGAUUAGAUACCCUUGUAGUC
This 460-nucleotide ribosomal RNA is filed under the name uncultured bacterium. RNAcentral's name for it is "partial 16S ribosomal RNA". It matches the Rfam family "Bacterial small subunit ribosomal RNA", at positions 338 to 795 of the family's 1533-position model. The record is from RNAcentral.